AUGGACAAACCCCUGAGCCUGCUCAUCCUUUGGUUACAGCUAGACUGGGUGAGUGGUAAACAGGAGGUGGAGCAGAGUCCUGAAGCUCUGAGUGCCCGAGAGGGAGAAAUAUCGGCUCUCAACUGCAGCUAUACCGAUAGUGCCAUUUUCUCCCUUCAGUGGUUUAAGCAGGACCCUGGGAAAGGGCUCAUUUCUCUGCUGCUACUUCGGUCAAAUCAGAGAGAGCAAACGAGUGGAAGAAUUAAAGCCUCGUUGGAUAAAUCAUCAAGACGUAGUACUCUAUAUAUUGCAACUUCUCAGCCCAGUGACUCAGCCACCUACCUCUGUGCUGUGAGGCACAGUGCACAACGGGCACCUGUCACCAACACCCAAACUCUGCAGCUGGCGCUCCAACUACAUGUCCUAUCUUGA
This is a non-coding RNA of Diceros bicornis minor, 411 nucleotides long. Lineage: Eukaryota; Metazoa; Chordata; Mammalia; Perissodactyla; Rhinocerotidae. The record is from the annotation of a RefSeq genome assembly.